GAACGCUGGCGGCGUGCUUAACACCUGCAAGUCGAACGGAAAGGCCCUGCUUUUGUGGGGUGCUCGAGUGGCGAACGGGUGAGUAACACGUGAGUAACCUGCCCUUGACUUUGGGAUAACUUCAGGAAACUGGGGCUAAUACCGGAUAGGAGCUCCUGCUGCAGGGUGGGGGUUGGAAAGUUUCGGCGGUUGGGGAUGGACUCGCGGCUUAUCAGCUUGUUGGUGGGGUAGUGGCUUACCAAGGCUUUGACGGGUAGCCGGCCUGAGAGGGUGACCGGCCACAUUGGGACUGAGAUACGGCCCAGACUCCUACGGGAGGCAGCAGUGGGGAAUAUUGCACAAUGGGCGGAAGCCUGAUGCAGCAACGCCGCGUGCGGGAUGACGGCCUUCGGGUUGUAAACCGCUUUCGCCUGUGACGAAGCGUGAGUGACGGUAAUGGGUAAAGAAGCACCGGCUAACUACGUG
Molecule: ribosomal RNA, 465 nt
Filed under: uncultured bacterium
Lineage: Bacteria
Description: partial 16S ribosomal RNA
Rfam family: Bacterial small subunit ribosomal RNA
Source: RNAcentral